GACGAACGCUGGCGGCGUGCUUAACACAUGCAAGUCGAGCGGUAAGGCCCUUCGGGUACGACGAGCGGCGAACGGGUGAGUAACACGUGGGUGACCUGCCUCUAGCUCUGGGAUAAGCCUGGGAAACCGGGUCUAAUACCGGAUAUGACUCCAUGACGCAUGUUGUGGGGUGGAAAGCCUUGUGCGGCUGAGGAUGGGCCCGCGGCCUAUCAGCUUGUUGGUGGGGGGAUGGCC
This 234-nucleotide ribosomal RNA is filed under the name uncultured bacterium. RNAcentral's name for it is "partial 16S ribosomal RNA". It matches the Rfam family "Bacterial small subunit ribosomal RNA", at positions 28 to 265 of the family's 1533-position model. The record is from RNAcentral.